CCAGAGGUUGUUAUUAGAAAAAACUCUGAGUUUGAUCUUGCUGAUACACUGGUAAGUACAACUUAAAAUGUAUUUGGUCUUUUGUUUUUAUUUGGUUGAGUGACCACAACAAGAGCAUUUUACCUAAGCUUCAUAGGACUAUGCCGAUGUUUUUAUGUGAAAUUGUGUUUCAUUUUCUUCAGCCAUGGGAACCUAUGGAUGAAAGCAGUCCUUUGCAAAAGGUGGCAGAAACAGAGAAUGGUGUUGGGGAUCUUGUACUUGCAAAUGAAGUACAACAGGUUAUGGACUUGGAUAACAAUGGCAACAAUCCAGGCACCAG
This is a long non-coding RNA of Xiphophorus maculatus (southern platyfish), 319 nucleotides long. RefSeq lists it as uncharacterized. Lineage: Eukaryota; Metazoa; Chordata; Actinopteri; Cyprinodontiformes; Poeciliidae. The record is from RefSeq and is a predicted model, not a curated record. The transcript is spliced from 3 exons.